CCUACGGGAGGCAGCAGUAGGGAAUCUUUCACAAUGGGCGAAAGCCUGAUGGAGCAACACCGCGUGCAGGAUGAAGGCCUUCGGGUUGUAAACUGCUUUUAUAAGCGAGAAAUAUGAUGGUAACUUAUGAAUAAGGAUCGGCUAACUACGUGCCAGCAGCCGCGGUCAUACGUAGGAUCCGAGCAUUAUCCGGAGUGACUGGGUGUAAAGAGUUGCGUAGGUGGCAUAAUAAGUAGCUAGUGAAAUCUGGUGGCUCAACCAUUCAGACUAUUAGCUAAACUGUUAAGCUCGAGACCGGUAGGGGUAACUGGAAUGUCUAGUGUAGGAGUGAAAUCCGUAGAUAUUAGAAGGAACACCAAUAGCGUAGGCAGGUUGCUGGGACGGUUCUGACACUAAGGCACGAAAGCGUAGGGAGCAAACGGGAUUAGAUACCCUUGUAGUC
Molecule: ribosomal RNA, 442 nt
Filed under: uncultured bacterium
Lineage: Bacteria
Description: partial 16S ribosomal RNA
Rfam family: Bacterial small subunit ribosomal RNA
Source: RNAcentral